Molecule: ribosomal RNA, 253 nt
Filed under: uncultured bacterium
Lineage: Bacteria
Description: partial 16S ribosomal RNA
Rfam family: Bacterial small subunit ribosomal RNA
Source: RNAcentral
AACGUAGGAGACAAACGUUAUCCGGAGUUACUGGGCGUAAAGGGCGUGUAGGUGGUCUCGUAAGUCUGGCGUGAAAUUUCUCGGCUUAACCGAGGCAGGUCGUCGGAUACUGCGAGGCUAGAGGACGGUAGAGGCGUGUGGAAUUCCGGGUGUAGUGGUGAAAUGCGUAGAGAUCCGGAGGAACACCAGUGGCGAAGGCGACACGCUGGGCCGUACCUGACACUGAUGCGCGACAGCAUGGGGAGCAAACAGG